UCAAAAGCUCGAGAGUUGGUGGAU
This 24-nucleotide non-coding RNA is filed under the name Arabidopsis thaliana (thale cress). The record is from RNAcentral. Lineage: Eukaryota; Viridiplantae; Streptophyta; Magnoliopsida; Brassicales; Brassicaceae.